GCUUUCCGGAAUCCACGAGGAUGAGAACCUCCGGGGGCAAGAGGUUCGACUCGAGCGGAGCGAGAGAACGUUGCGCCAGCAACGGCCCGCAGUGGCGAGUAAUCCUCUAUCACCGACCA
Molecule: small RNA, 119 nt
Filed under: Citrobacter pasteurii
Lineage: Bacteria; Pseudomonadati; Pseudomonadota; Gammaproteobacteria; Enterobacterales; Enterobacteriaceae
Also listed under: 1 other name
Description: RtT sRNA
Rfam family: RtT RNA
About the family: This family represents a bacterial cis-regulatory element known as RtT RNA. The exact function of RtT is unknown although it is thought that it may be involved in changing the cellular response in relation to amino acid starvation.
Source: RNAcentral